GACGAACGCUGGCGGCGUGCUUAACACAUGCAAGUCGAACGGAAAGGCCCUGCUUUUGUGGGGUGCUCGAGUGGCGAACGGGUGAGUAACACGUGAGUAACCUGCCCUUGACUUUGGGAUAACUUCAGGAAACUGGGGCUAAUACCGGAUAGGAGCUCCUGCUGCAUGGUGGGGGUUGGAAAGUUUCGGCGGGUGGGGAUGGACGCGGGGCUUAUCAGCUUGUUGGUGGGGUAGUGGCUUACCAAGGCAUUGACGGGUAGCCGGCCUGGGAGGGUGACCGGCGACAUUGGGACUGAGAGACGGCCCAGACUCCUACUGGAGGCAGCAGGGGCGAAUAUUGCACAAUGGGCGGACGCCUGAUGCAGCAACGCCGCGGGCGUGAUGACGUCCUGCGGGUUGUAAACCGCUUUCGCCUGUUACGAAGCGUGAGUGACGGUAAUGGGUAAAGAAGCACCGGCUAACUACGUG
RNAcentral lists this ribosomal RNA (468 nucleotides) under uncultured bacterium. Its description in RNAcentral is "partial 16S ribosomal RNA". It matches the Rfam family "Bacterial small subunit ribosomal RNA", at positions 28 to 507 of the family's 1533-position model. The record is from RNAcentral.